This 584-nucleotide small RNA is filed under the name Pongo abelii (Sumatran orangutan). RNAcentral describes it as "retained intron". The record is from RNAcentral. Lineage: Eukaryota; Metazoa; Chordata; Mammalia; Primates; Hominidae.
GGUCACCUGGUACAGGCGAGGGGGUAGCCUGCCUCCCCACACCCAGGUCCACGGCUCCCGUCUGCGGCUCCCCCAGGUCUCACCAGCUGAUUCUGGAGAAUAUGUGUGUCGUGUGGAGAAUGGAUCGGGCCCCAAGGAGGCCUCCAUUACCGUGUCUGUCCUCCAUGGCACCCAUUCUGGCCCCAGCUACACCCCAGUGCCCGGCAGCACCCAGCCCAUCCGCAUCGAGCCCUCCUCCUCACAUGUGGCUGAAGGGCAGACCCUGGAUCUGAACUGUGUGGUGCCUGGGCAGGCCCACGCCCAGGUCACAUGGCACAAGCGUGGGGGCAGCCUCCCUGUCCGGCACCAGGUAUGGGACUGGAAGACAGACAGGCCAAGAAGAGGAAGUGGGUCCCUGGGUGGUGGAGGUUACUGGGGGAGGGCUAGAGGCUCCCCUGAGAUCAGGAAGCCCUGGACCCCAUUGCACAGAUGUAUAGCGCAGUGGUUAGAAACCAGAAUCUAGGACUGACUAACCUGGGUGUGAAUUCUGGCUCCACCACUUAGCUUGUGACCUCGGACAAGUUACUUAACCUCUCUGUGCUAUA